ACGUUUAGGGGAAUCCAUAAUUUGAACUAGACCAAAAGAAGACGUCAAGUCGAGCAAAGCUGAAGUUUGAUUAUCACACCUCAAUAAAUUUACAUUAAAAUCGCCAAGUAACACCAAAUCAUCACACUCAGGUGCAAUAGCGGCCAAACUAUUCUCAAGUUCCUCCAUAAAACUAACAAGAUAAAAAUUAGGGGGUCUGUACACAACACCUACGAUUUGCUCAGUAUUAACUUUCUUAAAAAUACUUUAUUUAAAAAUAAGAGGAUUGAAGUCGGACCUAUCCUCGACCUAUCCAUUUUCCAGGAGGAACAUUAUUUAGAUGUCACCGAUAUAUCGGAUAUCUAGAAAACUAAAAAACAUUUUUCAUCUAUUAGUCAUUAUUUUUCAUAAGAAAUAAAUCUUCAAAUUUAUGCGUAUAGGUUGAGAAGUACCCUGUAUAAAACGGUAAUAAGACCUCCCUACCCUGGAGGAAGACAGUAGCUGCAGAAUCAGGUUGAACCAUGAGCUAUAUAGCAUUAUGAGGGGUGAGGAUAUAGUGCGUUUUAUAAUGGCACAACGUGUACAAUGGCUGGGGUAUCUGCACAGGAAGAUUGCAGCAGAGACGGAUUUACGGAAUAUGCGUGUUGAACGAUGGAGAGAGGUUGCUGAUAGAGGAAGAUGGGGCGAGAUGGUAAGGGAAGCCAAAACUCACAUCGGAUUGUAGAGCCAAAGGCAGAAGAAAUUGUUUGAAUUGUGUAUUGAAUCUUUAACCAUUGCCCCAUAAAGAACAACAAAUUAAGCUUUUACUCAUUAUCUCUGUCGUUACUCAACACAAUCCCUAAUAUCUCUCAACACUCAUCUGGCUUCCAUCCACAUAAUCUCCAUUAUUUAUUAACAUAGUCCUUAAUAUCUCUAAGUAUCGUCACUGGUACCGUUCAACUUAUUUCCUAUUAUCCCAUGUUAACGUCACUGGCUUUCUUACAGCUUUCUAUUAUCUAUAAUCUAUAAUCCUCGAUAUAUCUAAAUAUCGUUUCUGAUAUCUAUCAACAUGAUCGUAUUAUCUCUCAACAUUGUCCCCGAUAUUUUCCAAUAUCGUUCCUGACAUAUAUCAACAUCCCUCCGUAUCUUUUCUAGCAUCUAUCUGUAUUAUCCCGGAUAGCUCUAAAUAUUAUUCAUGUUUGUAUUAUAUGAUAUCGGACAAUAUCAUCCGCUUAUUAUCGAUUUUAGAACCGUCGAAUAUUGUCCCUGAUAUCCUUGCUUAUCGCCUAUAGGUUCAAAAUUAUCCAUAUUUUCCCUAAAUCUCUCUCAACAAUGUCGUGAUUUCCUUCAACAUCAUUUUUAUCAUCUAUCAACAUCAUCCUUGAUAUCUACGCAUUGAAACCUGCUUUUACGAUUUUAUUGAUGGAAUUUUAACUAAAUCCAUCUGAAUUAUUAAACCAGUAAAGUUCUUUGCCCCCGACUUCUCUCAAUAUCGCCCUAAUUAUUCCCCAGUAUCAAUGUCUACUUCUAUAUCUUUCCCAUCAAGUUCUACAUACAUCGUUCUUGACAUUAUUCAACCUCAAUUCCAAUAUCGUCCCUGAUAUCUUGCAAUAUCGUUUUUACCGUUCCUCAACAUUGUGUGAGGCGUUUCUCAACAUUGGCUCUAUUAUCUCUUAACACAAUGCCUAACAUCAUUCAACAUUAAUCUAAGUGCCCUCAAUAUUUUCUCCUUUACUUAUUAACAUUGUUCUUAAUAUCACUGAUUACCGUUCCUGACAUCUCUCAAUAUUGUCCCUGUUAUUUUGCAAUAUUGUCCUUAGUCUUCCUUAAUGUUAAUUUUAUUAUAAUUUCUCAAUAUUGUCUGUGAUAUUCCUCAACAUCGUUCCUGACAUCUCCCAAUACAAUCUCUAAUAUCCCUAAACACUAAUCUGGCUACUCUUCAUUACUUAUUAACUUCAACCUUAAUAUCUUUACUUAUCCUCUCAGCAUCUUUCCCAUUAUUCUAAAUAUCGUCUUUGAUUUCGGUCAACAUUUUCCGAGAUAUCUUUAAACAUUGUCUCCGAUAUUUUUCUGUUCUGGCUCCCCUUUAUAUCUCCCCUAACAUCUGUCAUUAUCAUGCUUGAUACCUCUAACUGUUAUCUGUAAUAUAGCUCAAUAUCAUCGCUGAUAUCUUUAUCAACAUCGUCAUUUAUAUCCUCGAAUAUUGUCCCUAAUAUCCUUGAUUAUCGCCUAUAGUUUCAAAAUUGUAAGUACAUUUUUGAAAAGUGUAAUAUUACCAUUUAAGUAUUAUGUAUAUUAUAUGCCUAUGCAAUAUCAAACCAGAACCGGGCCCCUGUAGGUGCAGAGCCCUGAGGCACGCGCCUCAAGCGCCUACUGGCUAAUCCAGCUCGGCCUUCCUUCAACAGGGUCGUUAUUAUCUAUAUUGAUUGUCCUUGCCAUCGCUAAAUAUUUGUCUAGUCUUUACUUUAAAUUUUUCUACGUUCAUGUCUACGUAUUUAUACUGGUAGGUCUUGUACAAAAUGUGUUGCAUAUUAUUUGGUUUGCAUUUUUAUGUCUGGGUGACAUGACACAGCGCGACAAUUAUAAAUAAAUGACCAGUAGUAAAUGACCAAAUUCAAAACGUUUUCUAACCUGUACUACAAUGAUAAAAUAACGUUUUAGUUGAAAAAAGUUGUCAACAGGUGUUUUAUUUGGCGCCUAAAAAACAUUGAAUAAAAGGUAAGAAAACCAUGGUUUUUGAUAUGCUAUAUAAUUAAGGUCAUCCUCAGAUAUGCAGAUCAGGAAAUCACAUGUAAUAAGUUUUUACAAUUGUUUAUUGUCUUCUUAAGAUGUCAAUAUGAAUGUAGAAUACAGGUAUAUUUUGUUGGAUAUCAGCGACAUUGUCCUUGUUACUAGCAACGACCUUUCGAUGUAUGGGUCAUAAUCACGAUUAGCAAUAGGAUCAUCAUUACAAAUGUUCGAGGUUCACUAUUUUCAUAUUUACCAAAAUAAUUAUGGUGGUAACAACAAUUUUAAUGUAAGGGAUGUAAUGCAAAAAUUGAACAAAUGAGUUUUUUUAAAUAUUAAGUUAAUGACAAAGAAAGAGUAUGUAGAAUGCAAUUUAAAAUCUUUAUGAAAUCCUUAUAAACAGUUGUGAUUUAGUGUACUUGGAAAAAUCAAAUACCCACGUGGUGUUUAAAGUACUAAAUAAAUAAUAAGUCUAAUAACACUAGUCUACAAAAAAAAUGCAUAAAAUGUACAUUUGACGCCACGGUAUUUUUCUUAUAUAGUUUUCUAUGGAUCUAUAGUAUUUUUUCUAUGGAUACGUUUUGGAGCUAUGAUUUUUUUUUAUAGGGGUAAUUUAACUAUUUGCAGCAUAUUUCGAGUUAGAGAUGACCGAUCUGGUCGUGCUAUUCAUCAAAUUAAAGAGUAUUGUAUAGCCAAUGAAUGGUAUUAAUAUUUAUUCCAAUCGCUUCGGUAGUUUUAAAACAAUGGCCCAUAAUAUGUAAAAAAGGGAUUUUUUUAGACAUAAUGUGAACCAAAAAUUCAUUCAAUAUUCGUGGGGAGUCGCAGAAAAAUUCUUUUUUACCUUCUACGUAAAGUUUGCUCUUUUAAGAAGACAACACGGUACGCAGAAUGAGAAUCUAUAGAGAAAUUACCAAAAAUUAUGAUAUAUAUUUGAGAGCACAGCUUUUUUCUGUACAUGAAAUUCCGCGCAACUAGACCGUUAGAAAUUUUUAGGUUUCAUGUUUCGUACGUUUCUGAGAUUUUACAUGUAGGAGCUAUUCAUCCCAAUCUUUCAAUUUAAAAUAAUUUCAAGAUGGCUGCCACAUCCAGUGCACCGGAAGUAACCUACAUCUUUGUUAUUUUAAACGGAAUGCUACAAUUUUUAUUGGAUAUUUGAAUUCCAAAAUUCACUCGCAAAAAGAGAACCGCAAAAAUUCCGUCUUAUUCUUUACAUACAGAUUGUACUUUUACAAUGGGAAGAUAGUAUUUACGACCAAAGCCUAUAGAGAAAUAUCGAAAUUAUGAUCAUUUGUGAGUCAAAGUGCCAACAUCCAGCUUUUCCUAUUUCUGUAAUUUUUCUCAAAAAGCACGAAAUACAGUGAUUCAUUCAGUUUAUUUUGAUUGUAACAUUUAGGUAUUAAUAAAAUAGAAUGCAUAAGUCUUAGAAAAUAACUUUGCACCCCGCUUUGCCUUCUGUUUCUUUGAGAAUCCGUCUCUUAUGGGGAACCAGAUAUAGUCUCCCACCAUUCUUUCAUCCCAAAUUCCUGAUAACGUCGCUCAAUGUUCUUCAUUUGCUGGUGGAACCUUUCGCCAUGUUCGUCACUUACGUCACCAAGAUUCUCCGGGAAGAAAUUUAAGUGUGAGUGUAAAAAAUGAAUUUUUAGAGACAUAUUUACACCUGUUGGAAAAAAUUAAAAUAAAAUUAAACGUAAGUAUAACUGUAAAUAAUGUAAUAACGUGUAUUUGUAAACUGCCUGCAUCCCCAUAGCUUUUGAAAUGUACAUCGAAAUUAAAUUCAGAAUAAAAAACCUUAAUUGUUUUUUUAUUUUGAAUUAAAUGUCUCUUAACUCAAAACCUGCUGGGAUGUCGGUACUUUACGGAUACCCGGAAUAAUAAUAAUAAUGAUUCAUACCAUUUUUUUAUAAUUCUGAAGCAAAUUUUCAACAAUUGCCUCGUAAUUCGGGAUUUAUUGUUUCCAAGAAAAUCAGAAACAAUUAACUGAAACGAAUUCCAGGCUGCAGCUUCAACGGAUGAUAAAUAGGUGUGAAAUUUGUCAUCUUUUAAAAGUUUUUUUAUUUGUGGACUGUUGAAAACACCUUCCUUGAUUUUUGCGAAUGAAAUAUUUUCAAAUAAGGUUCUUAAAUAAGUAAACGCUUGGCCUUUUACAUCCAGCGCUUUCACAAAAUUCUUGAAGAGUCCAAGUUUAAUAUAUAAUGGUGGUAGAACGAUAUUUUCUUUUUUAAUAAGAGGCAAGUAUUUAAUGUUGCCCUCGCCCAGGGUGUGGCUUUUUCUUUCAGGACAUUGCUUCCUCUUAUAAUGGUGUUCCCUUGCGCGACUCUCCCAAAGACAAAGGAAACAACAAAAUUUCGUGUAGCCACUUUGUAAACCAUACAACAUGCCUGUGACUUUUAAAUCGGCACAAACUUUCCAUUCGUGGUCUUCGUAAUUAAAAGAUUUUAAUAGUUUAACCAUUGUUUCGUACGAUUCUUUGGUAUUUACAGCAUGCGCGAUCGGAAUUAAUGGUUUCUCAUUUCCAUUAUUAAGAGAACUGCUUUAAAACUACUUUUACUGCUAUCAAUAAAUAAUCGCCACUCGUGUGCAUUAUAAGGCUGGCCAAGCUCCUCGAACAAACCCGGAAUGUCUUUGCAAAAGCAUAUGUUAUCAGUUGACAUGGUCUCGGUCUCUGUAAUAUGUUACUUUAACACUCGUAUCCAAAAAAUGAUAUUGCUUCAUACGAGAUGCAUGUAAUUCCACUUUCUCAUUUGAAAGCUCCAAGUCUCUCACCGGAUCAUUCAGUUCUUCAUGUGUUCAUGCUGUCCUUGACAUUCAGUUAAAUCACUUUGGAAAUCUGACGUAUCAGUACUUGAGGAUUGAGAUAUAAUGGAAGUUUGGGACUGAGAUAAAUCAGGGCAGUUGGGGAUGGGAAGUGUAUCUGAAUGCGGAACUGGAAACGUGACAGAUGGUACAUUUGCAUAAACCCAUCGCAUAUUUUUUCCAAUUCCGGUUUGUUUACUUAGGCAAAAGUAGCAGUAUUAUGGCAUUUAAGACAUAAAAAACUUGGUGUCUAUUGUUCUUGAAGAUUUUCAGUUGCUAUUCCAAAAUAUUGCAGAUAAUUUUCUUGUACUGAAUUAGUAAAUUUACGCAUGUUUUUCUUGACGACAUAUUCACCACACACAUAACAGAAAUUAAGGGGGUCGUUUUCACAC
This is a non-coding RNA of Onthophagus taurus, 5870 nucleotides long. Lineage: Eukaryota; Metazoa; Arthropoda; Insecta; Coleoptera; Scarabaeidae. The record is from RefSeq and is a predicted model, not a curated record.